RNAcentral lists this ribosomal RNA (431 nucleotides) under uncultured bacterium. RNAcentral describes it as "partial 16S ribosomal RNA". It matches the Rfam family "Bacterial small subunit ribosomal RNA", at positions 29 to 507 of the family's 1533-position model. The record is from RNAcentral.
AACGAACGCUGGCGGCAGGCUUAACACAUGCAAGUCGAGCGCCCCGCAAGGGGAGCGGCAGACGGGUGAGUAACGCGUGGGAACGUACCUUUUGGUUCGGAACAACUCCGGGAAACUGGAGCUAAUACCGGAUAAGCCCUAACGGGGAAAGAUUUAUCGCCGAAAGAUCGGCCCGCGUCUGAUUAGCUAGUUGGUGAGGUAACGGCUCACCAAGGCGACGAUCAGUAGCUGGUCUGAGAGGAUGAUCAGCAACACUGGGACUGAGACACGGCCCAGACUCCUACGGGAGGCAGCAGUGGGGAAUAUUGGACAAUGGGCGCAAGCCUGAUCCAGCCAUGCCGCGUGAGUGAUGAAGGCCUUAGGGUUGUAAAGCUCUUUUGUCCGGGAAGAUAAUGACUGUACCGGAAGAAUAAGCCCCGGCUAACUUCGUG